ACACUGGAGAGCCUCUUGGUGCUGGCUAUACACAGAGAUAGAAGGGAAGCCCGCCCAGUUGUUUUGUGGAUACAGGGACCCAAUGCUCUGUGCUCCUAUGCCCCCCUGUGGGCCAAUAUCCAAAGACCUUGAGUGCAAGGAGCUACUGACAACGAACAAUACUUAUGGACUGCCCGAAGAACAGUGGACCUUGGCGUGGGCCGGGUAACCCACUAGUUCAUAGUCAUCCCUGACUGCCCCCAUCCCUUGCUCAUGAGAAAAUUGCUCUCCAAAUUGGCUUGCGUGGGCUGAAAUGGCUGGAUGAGGCCAUGUGUAUACAUAUCUAUAGACUGUGUAUGUGGAGCUUAAGACCUGUCUCAGUACACCAGUAACUGAUGCUGGGAGUUGAAUGGCUUAGUGCUUUUCUGCCUGAAACACACCGUUCCUGCCAGCCGGGCACUAACAAUUAUCACCCAAUCCAGGACUUAAACUGUGAUAGAGUGGCUGAUAGAGUGUCCAAAGAUGGGACCACUGGUCAGCUGCCAUGGACUAGAUUCUCCACCGGUUGGGGACAAUCUGGUCACCUUGCUGCCCAAUCCGGACCUGGAGCCACCACAGCACGAGUGUCAAACACUGACAGAAGCACAUGGGUGGAGGAAAGACCUGUGCGACUGGCUGAUUGACCCCUGCUGAAAGCCGAGGACCUUGUCCACAGACGGGAACAGUUCUCUUCAUGAAUAAAGGUCAGAGAUAAGUGGGUGCUGCCAUGGUGGACAACACAAUGUCAUCUGGGAUGGCUGAACCUCUAUCCCCCCAGCACAUCAGCGCCACAGAUGUCUUUGCCAUCUCUUAGAUGCCCUGAUGAAGCCAACAACUGUGAGUACUAUUCAUUGCUCAGGAUAUCAGGAGGGAAGUGAUUCAGUGACAUGGGACAAUAACAAAACAGAUAAAGUGGCUAUGCAGGAGCCUAUCCUGGUUACAGGCCUACAAGAAACAGCCACUGAGAACUAGGAUCGGACUAAGGGAUGGCCUCACUUAGAAUGUACAACAGAAGAAAAGGCCCAAGUUGUUUAAAAGAUAAAAGGACAAUGACACACUUGGGGAGAAAGCUGUACCCCCCCCCCCAGAGAACAAACAAAAGACUCACUUUGCCAAAUAAAAAAAUAGACUCAUUUAAGAGAUAAGUUUGUCCAAAUAGUUAAAAUAUAUAUAAUAGACUUUAAGAUUUUAGCCAAGAGAGACAAUAAAAAAGUAUAAAAUACGUCAAUAAAUAAAUGCUUAACAAACAAAC
Molecule: long non-coding RNA, 1270 nt
Filed under: Rattus norvegicus (Norway rat)
Lineage: Eukaryota; Metazoa; Chordata; Mammalia; Rodentia; Muridae
Description: long non-coding RNA NONRATT012436
Source: RNAcentral